Long non-coding RNA from Osmerus eperlanus (European smelt), 413 nucleotides. RefSeq lists it as uncharacterized. The record is from RefSeq and is a predicted model, not a curated record. The transcript has 3 exons. Lineage: Eukaryota; Metazoa; Chordata; Actinopteri; Osmeriformes; Osmeridae.
GCCAACAGGCUUCAAGCAUCAACAAUCACUGCCUGGUUCAGAUGUGUGUCAGCGCUGAGAUCACUGCCUGGUUCAGAUGGGUGUCAGCGCUGAGAUCAUCCAUUCCUACGGCCUGAGAAGGCCCUCAACCUUUGAUAUGUGGAAAUUGCUCCCUGCCGCUGGAACGCGGUUCCCGCGUGAACCCAUGAUGUCACAUGAUGGAGUGACCUCAUCCCUGCUGGCUUCCUGUCCGCCUGAUUGGCACCUGAGGCUUGCUUCCGAUUGCAACGGCACAAAUUCAGCCUACAAUAAAGUUUCUCCAAGUACAAACUUUCCAGACAGCAUCGUUCAUCGUUGCCUCUGAAACAGGCUCACCUCUCCAUCUCAAGCUUCAAUAACAGAACGGUGAACCGCACUGAUGGAUUUUCAAAAGC